ACUCAAAGGAAUUGACGGGGGCCCGCACAAGCGGAGGAACAUGUGGUUUAAUUCGAUGAUACGCGAGGAACCUUACCCGGGCUUGAAAUGGAGUGGAAUAACUGUGAAAGCGGUUAGUCAGCAAUGACCACUUUGUAGGUGCUGCAUGGUUGUCGUCAGCUCGUGCCGUGAGGUGUCGGCUUAAGUGCCAUAACGAGCGCAACCCUUAUCAUUAGUUACUAGCAAGUAGCGUUGAGGACUCUAAUGAGACUGCCACCGUAAGGUGUGAGGAAGGUGGGGAUGACGUCAAAUCAGCACGGCCCUUACGUCCGGGGCGACACACGUGUUACAAUGGGGGGUACAGAGGGUUGCUACCUGGUGACAGGAUGCUAAUCUCAUAAAUCUUCUCUCAGUUCGGAUCGGAGUCUGCAACUCGACUUCGUGAAGUUGGAUUCGCUAGUAAUCGCGCAUCAGCCAUGGCGCGGUGAAUACGUUCCCGGGCCUUGUACACACCGCCCGU
Molecule: ribosomal RNA, 499 nt
Filed under: uncultured bacterium
Lineage: Bacteria
Description: bacterial SSU rRNA
Rfam family: Bacterial small subunit ribosomal RNA
Source: RNAcentral